Molecule: ribosomal RNA, 433 nt
Filed under: uncultured bacterium
Lineage: Bacteria
Description: partial 16S ribosomal RNA
Rfam family: Bacterial small subunit ribosomal RNA
Source: RNAcentral
AACGAACGCUGGCGGCAUGCCUAACGCAUGCAAGUCGAACGAGACCUUCGGGUCUAGUGGCGCACGGGUGCGUAACGCGUGGGAAUCUGCCCUUGGGUUCGGAAUAACAGUUGGAAACGACUGCUAAUACCGGAUGAUGACGUAAGUCCAAAGAUUUAUCGCCCAAGGAUGAGCCCGCGUAGGAUUAGCUAGUUGGUGAGGUAAAGGCUCACCAAGGCGACGAUCCUUAGCUGGUCUGAGAGGAUGAUCAGCCACACUGGGACUGAGACACGGCCCAGACUCCUACGGGAAGCAGCAGUGGGGAAUAUUGGACAAUGGGCGAAAGCCUGAUCCAGCAAUGCCGCGUGAGUGAUGAAGGCCUUAGGGUUGUAAAGCUCUUUUACCCGGGAUGAUAAUGACAGUACCGGGAGAAUAAGCUCCGGCUAACUCCGUG